CCCCUCGCAAACCUGUACCCAUCUCCUCCAUGUCGGCCGCAACCUAGCCUCCUCUGCCACUCCUCCGCACAGCCAGCGACCAAGCUUCCUCACCCACUCCUCUGCACUGCCCGCGACCUAGUUUCUGCUACUCCUCUAUGCCGCUCAUGACCUAGCCUCUUCCGCCACUCCUUCGCGUCACCCGUGACACAAUCACUAACCCUUCAAAGCCACCGAAGCUUUUACACCUCUUCUAACGCUAUCAUUCUUGUCGCUUAGGGUUGUUUGGUUGUGCGGCCAGUAGCUGAUUCUUUCCUUCAUUGGGUUAGCAACAAGAUUCUACAUCUAAGGCCGGCGGAUAGUUGGCACUAUUGGAAACACCUCUUCUCGUGUGAGCAGUGAGUCGCACAUCUUUCCCAUCGAGUGGUGGAUACUACAUGGAGUGCCCUUGCAGUUAAGGUUCGAAUAUUACCUUCAAGUUUGAGAGUGAUAUUCACUCUUGUGGAAUAGGCCAGCAAUUAUAUCAAAGAGUUCUUCGAUACUCUUACAUAUUCCAACAAGCUUCAUUGAAGGUAGGAUCGCUUUCCUCAUGUUAGGCCUUCCUCGAGGGUUUUUACCAUUGCAGUUGUUGUUGGGAAAUAAUUAGUUUUGAUUAAAUUGUUUAGUUGUGCUUGUGCUAAUCUAAAAUCAUUGGUCUAUGGUGAGCGUAUUGGUUGUACUUAAGUAGUUGUUCUUGUGUUGUGUACCACUUCAUUGCUUCUAAGUGUAGGGGCAUAAUCCACUCACUUACCAUACUCAAACUAUAAAAAAGAUAAAGAUUAAACAUAAUCUAACGAAAUGAAAUAAUGAAAAUUCAUGAUUAUUUACGUAUUCUUGCUUUGUUUACUUCUAUGCUUUACUAAUCAUGUUUGCUACAUAUAGUUUUAAGUAAUUGUUUUAAAAUUAUUAGAAAUCUCGAAGGAAGAACUUUAAAUAAUCAAAAAAGAAACAUACUUUGUCAAUAAGUGUCCCAAGAUCAUUACAUAUGUUAUAUUGUUAUAAUAAGUGUACUCUAGAUGAAGGAAGAUAUAUAUAUCAAUGCGUUUAGAUAAUGAUGUGUUUGAUGAUGAUUAUAAACUUCUGUGUAUAAUAAGUGUACUCUAAUUAUGUAAUAAGUGUACUCUAAUUAUGUGUCUGUGCAUAGUUUUGAUUGGAUUCUCACUUUGAUUGGAUUCUCACUGUUAUUGAACCCUACAAAGAUGUUAUUUAUUUGUUGGAUUCCCUAAGUCACUGCAUUCACGAUGAGGAUUAGAAAUUUGUAGUGGAAAUGUAAGUUCAUAUUUAUUUUUUAUUAAUCAUUUAUUUUACUCAAUAAAAAACUCAUAUAUCAAAUAUUAUUAAUGUAUGAAGGGCCUUAAGAUUGUUUAUUUCAAAUAAGGGAAGAAAAGGUAGAAAUAAAUGCUGAGUGGGAAGUAGUAUAGCUAUGUGUAAUUAUGUUUAAUAUAUUUUUUAAUAUGUAUAUUUGUCAUUAACAAUUUGUCUCUAAUUGCCCUAGGUCCUCGGCAAUAAGAUGUGAAACAAUGUACUUAUUAUGUGAUGAGAUUUAUGAGACAAGUUAUUAAAGAAGUUGAAUCUAUCGAGAGAGAUUCACUAUGAUCAAUAAUAAUAUUAUCUUUCUUAUAUAAAAUUAUUUGAAAUAAACUAUUUAAAAUUUGCAAAGUCAGUGUUGAUUUUUUUUAUUAACAUAAUUUGUGUGUUCACAGUUCAAAAAAGCGGAGUACUCUCGGGAAGAAAUUGAUGAGGUACGUUCCGAGUUGGCAAAAUGUGUUGAAUAUAAGUGAAUG
This is a long non-coding RNA of Zingiber officinale, 1802 nucleotides long. RefSeq lists it as uncharacterized. The transcript has 3 exons. The record is from RefSeq and is a predicted model, not a curated record. Lineage: Eukaryota; Viridiplantae; Streptophyta; Magnoliopsida; Zingiberales; Zingiberaceae.